UUACGUUAGCUCACCAAGGACAGUUGUAGCUAAUACACCUGAGCACUUUAUAAAUCAUUUAGCUAGUAUUUUCUUUACUGCAUAACAAUAUUCUCUCUUGAAAUCUGAGUUCUUUGAGUUUCCCAGCCAUAGCCUGCCUAGGCUAUAUGUCUGUGAUCGAAAUCAAAUCAAGAAUGUGCUGGAAAUCUCAUUACUACACACAUUCUCUCAAUUCUCCAUAAUAACAUGAAUACCUCCAAUAGGCAACUACUAUCGCCAUCAGUUCAACUGAGUAUACUGGCAGUUCAUCUGUUAGUCUUCUACAUAUCUUCACAUCAAAUUCAGAAACGUAAACACCUGAUUCUGUGCGCCCACUAUCUGGGUCCUUGGAUCCAUCUGUGAAAGUGGUUAGAUCAAGAACAAGAUCUGGGAGUAAGCAUGGAGGAACAUUCCCUAUCAUCACAGAAGGGCCAACCUCUAACUCCUUCAAACCACUCUCAUCAGCAAGCUUUCCAACUGUCCAACCAAAACCACUGCCUUGUCUAUUAGUAUUCCCAACAGUCAUCUAGAACUGUAGCAGUGGGAUGCUCAACCUCACAGCCUUUCAACCUAACCCAAUAAGCUAAUGAUUUUUUUUACGCCAUAUAUCCAAAGGCAUCUCACCUGCCUCCACUAUUAAGACGCAUACAGAUGUUAAUUCACCAGAUGUUGAUUCACCAAUUCAUAUCCUUAAAGUAUUCAGACCCCUUAACUUUUUCCACAUUUUAUUAUGCUACAGCCUUAUUCUAAAAUGUAUUAAAUAGUUUUUUCUCUUAUCAAAACAGGUUUUUAGACAUUUUUGUAAAUGUACAAAAAAAAAGGAAAUAUCACAUUUACAUAAGUAUUUAGACCCUUUACUCAGUACUUUGUUGCAACACCUUUGGCAGCGAUUACAGCUGUCUUCUUGGGUAUGACGCUACAAGCUUGGCACACCUGUAUUUGGGGAGUUUCUCCCAUUCUUCUCUGCAGAUCCUCUCAAACUCUGUCAGGUUGGAUGGUGAGCGUCGCUGCACAGCUAUUUUCAGGUCUCUCCAGAAAUGUUAAAUCAAGUUCAUGUCCAGGCUCUGGCUGGGUCACUCAAUUACAUUCAGAGUCUUGUCCCAAAACUACUCAAGCAUUAUCUUAGCUGUGUGGGUUGUUGUUCAGUUGGAAGGUGAACCUUUGUCCCAGUCUGAGAUCCUGAGCAGGUUUUCAUCAAGGUCUCGCUGUACUUUCCUCCGUUCUUCUUGCCCUCGAUCCUGACUAGUCUCCCAGUCUCUGCUGCUGAAAAACAUCCCCACAGCCACCACCGUGCUUCACCGUAUGGAUGGAAUUGGCCAGGUGGUGAGCGCAACGUUUGGCUAUCAGGCCAAAGAGUUAAAUCUUGGUUUAAUCAGACCGGAGAAUCUUGUUUCUCAUGUCUGAGAGUCCAUUAGGUUCCUUUUGGCAAACUCAAGUGGGCUGUCAUGUGCCUUUUACUGAGGAUUGGCUUCCUUCUGGCCACUGUACCAUAAAGCCCUGAUUGUUAUCUCAUCUCCAAAGAGGAACUCUGGAGCUCUGUCAGAGUGACCAUCGGGUUCUUGGUCACCUCCCUGACCAAAGUCCUUCUCCACCGAUGUGUGCCUUUCCAAAUCAUGUCCAAUCAAUUGAAUUUACCAUAGGUGGACUCCAAUCAAGUUCUAGAAACAUCUCAAAGAUGAUCAAUGGAAACAGGGUUUUUCCUGUUUUUGCUUUGUCAUUAUGGUGCAUUGUGUGUAGAUUGAUAAGGAAAAACAUGAAUGUAAUAUAUUUUAGAAUAAGGCUGUAAUGUAAUAAAAUGUGCAAAAAGUAAAGCGGUCUGAAUACUUUCCAAAUGCACUAUAUAUACCGGAUUGGAAAAGUUAGAGGUCAGUGCUAUUGGUCUAUAACUAUCAGCACAUGAAGAGUCCUUGCCAGGCUUUACAAAAGGUAAUAUUACAGCACGUUUCCAACCAGAAGGUAUAACCCCCUCACUCUAAAUCGCAUUAAAUAAUCCCAGGAGAACAUGUAUGAUCUCAUCAGGUAGAUGCUUAAAUGAUGCAUAGCACAACUGAUCAUGACCUGGGGCUGUGUAUCCACAGCCUAUUAAGGCUGAACGCAUCUCAUGUAUGGUAAAAAUAGCAUCCAAAGAAAAGUUAACAGUAUCCCUUAUACACAUUAACACGAGCAUUUCAAAUCUCACACCUGCAUUGCUUAUAUACUUCACUCAAAGUAACACCACUAUGUACCCUAGCAAAUGUUUUCCCCAACAAGUCAGCUUUUUCUUUAUCAGUUGUUUGACCCACAAUCAAAACAGGAAUUCGAGUGGACUUCCUUCUUCCAGUCAUCUUCUUCAACAUAGACCCUACAUCCCCCAGCUCAGUACCCCUGCCUAUUGUAGAGCAGAACUGUCUCCAUGCAUUUAUUGUACAUUAUUGACUGUGCGUACUAAAGCUCUCUUUCUUUGGAAAUCAAGUAGAUUCUCAGGAGUCAUAUUCCGACGCAACACUCUGUAAUCCCUAUUUCUUUCUCGAAUAGCCGCAGUGCACUCUUCAGUCCAUCAAGGCGCCACCUUCCUUUUCUCACCCACUUCACUCACUGGUACAUAUUUGCAGCACUCAAAAUCAGAGAGGUCACAGAGGCAGCACAUACAUCAACCGGCCUCUCUAAAGACAACUUGUCCAACAGACUUUAAGCAAUGAACACCAAACUUUUCCAAGUCUGCUUCAUGAAAGCCCCAUCUUCUGAAUGGUACUCUAUCUGGAAUAGUAUUAUCAAAGGUCAUGGUAUACGAAAUCUAUAAAUGAUCACUUCCAACAGUAGAAUCAUUCUUUCCAUACACACAUACAGUAGAUGCAAUAGAGUUAUAGAAGCCAGUCCAGGCAGGAUGUAACCUCUAACAACAUUAACUCUUGUAAAACAUCCAUUGUUAAGACAUACUAAUGCUUCCAUCAUAUCUUCCACAAUAGUACCAUUAGUAUCUGUAUGUUUGCUUCCCAAUAAACUACUG
This is a long non-coding RNA of Oncorhynchus nerka (sockeye salmon), 3004 nucleotides long. RefSeq lists it as uncharacterized. Lineage: Eukaryota; Metazoa; Chordata; Actinopteri; Salmoniformes; Salmonidae. The transcript has 4 exons. The record is from RefSeq and is a predicted model, not a curated record.